UGGGGAAUAUUGGACAAUGGGCGCAAGCCUGAUCCAGCCAUGCCGCGUGAGUGACGAAGGCCUUAGGGUUGUAAAGCUCUUUUCGGCGGGGAAGAUAAUGACGGUACCCGCAGAAGAAGCCCCGGCUAACUCUGUGCCAGCAGCCGCGGUAAUACAGAGGGGGCAAGCGUUGUUCGGAAUCACUGGGCGUAAAGCGCACGUAGGUGGAUAGUUAAGUUCGGGGUGAAAUCCCAGGGCUCAACCCUGGAACUGCCUCGGAUACUGGCUAUCUCGAGUCCGGAAGAGGUGAGUGGAAUUCCUAGUGUAGAGGUGAAAUUCGUAGAUAUUAGGAAGAACACCGGUGGCGAAGGCGGCUCACUGGUCCGGUACUGACACUGAGGUGCGAAAGCGUGGGGAGCAAACAGGAUUAGAUACCCAAGUAGUCCCUGAGCGGGCUGGCAAGGCGCAU
Molecule: ribosomal RNA, 448 nt
Filed under: uncultured bacterium
Lineage: Bacteria
Description: bacterial SSU rRNA
Rfam family: Bacterial small subunit ribosomal RNA
Source: RNAcentral